CCUACGGGAGGCAGCAGUGGGGGAUAUUGCACAAUGGGGGGAACCCUGAUGCAGCGAUGCCGCGUGGGUGAAGGAGUGCUUCGGCAUGUAAAGCCCUAUCGGCAGGGAAGAAGCAAGUCGGUUCCUGACUAUGAAGCCCCGGCUAAAUACGUGCCAGCAGCCGCGGCAAUACGUAGGGGGCGAGCGUUAUCCGGAUUCACGGGGCGUACAGGGAGCGUAGACGGCCAGGCAAGCCAGGGGUGAAAGCCCGGGGCACAACCCGGGGACUGCCCUUGAAACUGUGCGGCUAGAGUGCGGGAGGGGCAGGUAGAAUUCCUGGUGUAGCGGUGAAAUGCGUAGAGAUCAGGAGGAACACCGGCGGCGAAGGCGGCCUGCUGGACCGCGACUGACGUUGAGGCGCGAAAGCGUGGGGAGCGAACAGGAUUAGAUACCCGGGUAGUC
This 441-nucleotide ribosomal RNA is filed under the name uncultured bacterium. RNAcentral describes it as "partial 16S ribosomal RNA". It matches the Rfam family "Bacterial small subunit ribosomal RNA", at positions 338 to 795 of the family's 1533-position model. The record is from RNAcentral.